AAACAGAACCCGGAAGGAACAGGGUUUCUAUUACUGAAUGCCGAUUCUCACUGCAGAACAAGGCAUUCAUGCGUCCCAGCCACCAUAGGGCGGUGGGAGCUUUUGGUGAUAGCAUUCUCUAUUUCAAGAGACUGGGUUUUAGUAUCAGGCUCGUCUAGCAGAGUCUCAGCAAUGGUUUCGCCAAUGGCAAUGGCUUCAAAGAUAAGUGCAUUCACCUCACGGAACCUCUCCUCAGAGAGAGAAACCUCUGCAAGGAGCCUCCAAGCAUUUUCAUCAGAUGCCUCGUCGUAGUCCUUCCUCCUUUUUAACACCAUAUGACCACUAAUUUCCCACACAGCUGGGUUCACCUGGGUGUCCAAUAGCUCUGGACUCACUUCCCCAAGAGCUUGUUUCUCAGCAUAACACUGUUUGUUCAAUUCACAAAUUGCAAAUUCAAUUGUAAGCACUAGCAGCAUCAUGGAGAUAAUAACAAUGCGUCAAUCAUGGUUCUAGUUUGUUACCUGUGGAAGGAGAAAGAUCCGCUUUCCACAGUCAGAGAUGAGGACAUUGUAUGGUAUGUUGUUAUCUUGAAGGCAAAUGCAGGCAUCAGAG
This 591-nucleotide long non-coding RNA is filed under the name Theobroma cacao (cacao). RNAcentral describes it as "long non-coding RNA (TCAC_LNC004164)". The record is from RNAcentral. Lineage: Eukaryota; Viridiplantae; Streptophyta; Magnoliopsida; Malvales; Malvaceae.